Non-coding RNA from Phascolarctos cinereus (koala), 480 nucleotides. NCBI's taxonomy places the organism in Eukaryota, Metazoa, Chordata, Mammalia, Diprotodontia, Phascolarctidae. The record is from RefSeq and is a predicted model, not a curated record.
GUUGGAAAGGGGUGGGGUUUGCCCCUGAAGAAUUGGGGUUGACUGAUGAGCCGGGAGCACCGGGGUUUAGGUGGAUACUAGACCAGUCUGACUCUGGAACAAGUGAGGAAACACAAAACUGAAGAAAAGAUAACUGAAGUAACCAAGCUACCCCCUUGAAAAUCUGUCUUAAACAAAGCCCUCAUGGAGCUAGUUGCAAGAGAGACAGCCUGACAUCAUGGCAAGAGUGCUGUCCCAGACAUCAAAAAGUAGGAGAGCUGUGAUUUGGAUUUAGAGGACCUGGAUUUGAAUCCUGACUCGUGACACUUACUAGCAAUGUGACCUUGGACCUGUCUAUCCUAGGAAGUGGAAUUUGGGAGGACCUAUGAUGAAAGAUACUGUCCACCUCCAGACAACUAAUCAACUCUGAGUACAGAUGGAAGAAUAUUUUUUCAUUUUCUUUAUUUUUCUUGCUCUUUUUGUACAAUGUGGUUAAUAUGG